RNAcentral lists this transfer RNA (71 nucleotides) under Loxodonta africana (African savanna elephant). It matches the Rfam family "tRNA". Rfam says of the family: Transfer RNA (tRNA) molecules are approximately 80 nucleotides in length. Their secondary structure includes four short double-helical elements and three loops (D, anti-codon, and T loops). The record is from Rfam by way of RNAcentral. Lineage: Eukaryota; Metazoa; Chordata; Mammalia; Proboscidea; Elephantidae.
GUAUUGGUGGUUCAGUGGUAGAAUUCUCACCUUCCACGUGGGAGACUCAGGUAAGAUUUCCGGCCAACGUA